CGCGGCUGCUGGCCUACGGGGGGCAGCAGUCGAGAAUAUUGGACAAUGGGCGAAAGCCUGAUCCAGCCAUGCCGCGUGUGUGAAGAAGGUCUUCGGAUUGUAAAGCACUUUAAGUUGGGAGGAAGGGCAGUAAAUUAAUACUUUGCUGUUUUGACGUUACCGACAGAAUAAGCACCGGCUAACUCUGUGCCAGCAGCCGCGGUAAUA
This 207-nucleotide ribosomal RNA is filed under the name uncultured bacterium. RNAcentral's name for it is "partial 16S ribosomal RNA". It matches the Rfam family "Bacterial small subunit ribosomal RNA", at positions 325 to 525 of the family's 1533-position model. The record is from RNAcentral.